UAAAACGUGUGUAGGAGUUCGGAGAGGAGAUACAUCCUACGACUUCGCCCUGCCCGACGCUGUGGCCGUGAAAGUGCAAGACCUCAGCUGUGAUGCAGAGUGGAGCAUUGAUCAAUUCACAGCUAUCCUGGAAGGAAAUGUAGCACACUUUAAACAUCCCUUCAAAAAAGUAAACCGUACUGGAAUCAGUGUGGCUUACUGUCCAUUUUCAGUCAAAUUCCAUGUCUCUUGUCAUGAUUAUGCCAAACACCUCACAUGUUCUUGCACCAAUUCCACCAGCAUCUAUCCAGUGUUUAGCACAACUCGGCCAUAUGGAGAUUUAUCCUCCACUGCAGUCGAAACUCAUUCCUCAGUGAGACAACACUAUGGUGCUAUUGCUGCUGCUGUCGGUUUGGUCAUUAUCCUUGUCAUUUUGGCUUUCCUCGCUGCAAGCACAGCACAAAAUGCUCCUGAGAAACAAAACCAGCGUUUUUCAGUAGACUGAGCCUGGGGAGGCAACUGUUAUUGCCCUAGAAACAACAACACAUGGCGUGGAGUCAUAAUAACACAUUAUCUUAUAAUGUUGCACAUAUUAUAUUAUAUUAUAUU
Long non-coding RNA from Carassius auratus (goldfish), 588 nucleotides. RefSeq lists it as uncharacterized. The record is from RefSeq and is a predicted model, not a curated record. The transcript has 7 exons. NCBI's taxonomy places the organism in Eukaryota, Metazoa, Chordata, Actinopteri, Cypriniformes, Cyprinidae.